GGCCUCGUGGUCUAGUGGUAUGAUUCUCGCUUCGGGUGCGAGAGGUCCGGGUUCGAUUCCGGUGAGGCCC
Molecule: transfer RNA, 70 nt
Filed under: Phytophthora infestans (potato late blight agent)
Lineage: Eukaryota; Oomycota; Peronosporomycetes; Peronosporales; Peronosporaceae
Description: tRNA-Pro
Rfam family: tRNA
About the family: Transfer RNA (tRNA) molecules are approximately 80 nucleotides in length.
Source: RNAcentral